AGUUGCAUGCCCAAGACCCGAAGCGGAGUGAUCUAGCCAUGGGCAGGUUGAAGCGCGGGUAAGACCGUGUGGAGGACCGAACCCACCAGGGUUGAAAACCUGGGGGAUGACCUGUGGUUAGGGGUGAAAGGCCAAUCAAACUCCGUGAUAGCUGGUUCUCCCCGAAAUGCAUUUAGGUGCAGCGUCACGUGUUUCUUGCCGGAGGUAGAGCACUGGAUAGGCGAUGGGCCUCACCGGGUUACUGACCUUAGCCAAACUCCGAAUGCCGGUAAGUGAGAGCGUGGCAGUGAGACUGUGGGGGAUAAGCUCCAUGGUCGAGAGGGAAACAGCCCAGAACACCGACUAAGGUCCCUAAGCGUGUGCUAAGUGGGAAAGGAUGUGGAGUCGCAGAGACAACCAGGAGGUUGGCUUAGAAGCAGCCACCCUUGAAAGAGUGCGUAAUAGCUCACUGGUCAAGUGAUUCCGCGCCGACAAUGUAGCGGGGCUCAAGCACAUCACCGAAGUCGUGUCAUUGCAACUAUAGGGCCAACGCCUGUUGUGAUGGGUAGGGGAGCGUCGUGUGCCGGGUGAAGCGGCGGUGGAAACCAGUCGUGGACGGUAUACGAGUGAGAAUGCAGGCAUGAGUAGCGAUACAAGAGUGGGAAACUCUUGCGCCGAUUGACCAAGGGUUCCUGGGUCAAGCUGAUCUGCCCAGGGUAAGUCGGGACCUAAGGCGAGGCCGACAGGCGUAGUCGAUGGACAACGGGUUGAUAUUCCCGUACCCGCUUUGAAGCGCCAACGCUGAACC
This 787-nucleotide ribosomal RNA is filed under the name Streptomyces rubellomurinus subsp. indigoferus. Its description in RNAcentral is "bacterial LSU rRNA". It matches the Rfam family "Bacterial large subunit ribosomal RNA", at positions 698 to 1470 of the family's 2925-position model. Lineage: Bacteria; Bacillati; Actinomycetota; Actinomycetes; Kitasatosporales; Streptomycetaceae. The record is from RNAcentral.